AGUGAACGCUGGCGGUAGGCCUAACACAUGCAAGUCGAACGGCAGCACAGUAAGAGCUUGCUCUUACGGGUGGCGAGUGGCGGACGGGUGAGGAAUACAUCGGAAUCUACUUUUUCGUGGGGGAUAACGUAGGGAAACUUACGCUAAUACCGCAUACGACCUACGGGUGAAAGCAGGGGAUCUUCGGACCUUGCGCGAUUGAAUGAGCCGAUGUCGGAUUAGCUAGUUGGCGGGGUAAAGGCCCACCAAGGCGACGAUCCGUAGCUGGUCUGAGAGGAUGAUCAGCCACACUGGAACUGAGACACGGUCCAGACUCCUACGGGAGGCAGCAGUGGGGAAUAUUGGACAAUGGGUGCAAGCCUGAUCCAGCCAUACCGCGUGAGUGAAGAAGGCCUUCGGGUUGUAAAGCCCUUUUGUUGGGAAAGAAAAGCAGCAGGUUAAUACCCCGCUGUUCUGACGGUACCCAAAGAAUAAGCACCGGCUAACUUCGUG
RNAcentral lists this ribosomal RNA (492 nucleotides) under uncultured bacterium. RNAcentral's name for it is "partial 16S ribosomal RNA". It matches the Rfam family "Bacterial small subunit ribosomal RNA", at positions 29 to 507 of the family's 1533-position model. The record is from RNAcentral.